RNAcentral lists this unclassified non-coding RNA (297 nucleotides) under uncultured fungus. RNAcentral's name for it is "partial contains small subunit ribosomal RNA, internal transcribed spacer 1, and 5.8S ribosomal RNA". The stretch from base 1 to 73 matches the Rfam family "Eukaryotic small subunit ribosomal RNA", at positions 1759 to 1831 of the family's 1831-position model. The record is from RNAcentral. Lineage: Eukaryota; Fungi.
UCAAACUUGGUCAUUUAGAGGAAGUAAAAGUCGUAACAAGGUUUCCGUAGGUGAACCUGCGGAAGGAUCAUUAUCGAGUUAGGGUACUCCGUGCCCGAACCUCCCAACCCUUUGUCUAUUCGACCUUUUGUUGCUUCGGCGAGCCCGUCUCCGGACCGUCGGGGGGAAUCCCUCUGGCCCGCGCUCGCCGACAGCCCUCCACACUCUUGAACCAAUCGUGUCUGCUGAGUAUAAACGAAAUAAAGCAAAACUUUCAACAACGGAUCUCUUGGUUCUGGCAUCGAUGAAGAACGCAGC